This 684-nucleotide ribosomal RNA is filed under the name uncultured bacterium. Its description in RNAcentral is "bacterial SSU rRNA". It matches the Rfam family "Bacterial small subunit ribosomal RNA", at positions 57 to 763 of the family's 1533-position model. The record is from RNAcentral.
ACAAGUCGAGCGCCCCGCAAGGGGAGCGGCGGACGGGUGAGUAACGCGUGGGAACGUACCCCUUACUUCGGAAUAGCCUCGGGAAACUGGGAGUAAUACCGAAUGUGCUCUUCGGAGGAAAGAUUUAUCGGUAAGGGAUCGGCCCGCGUUGGAUUAGGUAGUUGGUGGGGUAAUGGCCUACCAGGCCGACGAUCCAUAGCUGGUUUGAGAGGAUGAUCAGCCACACUGGGACUGAGACACGGCCCAGACUCCUACGGGAGGCAGCAGUGGGGAAUCUUAGACAAUGGGCGCAAGCCUGAUCCAGCCAUGCCGCGUGGAUGAUGAAGGCCUUAGGGUUGUAAAAUCCUUUCGCCGGGGACGAUAAUGACGCCUACUAAUACUGGGUGUUGAUGACGGUACCGUAAGAAUAAGCACCGGCUAACUACGUGCCAGCAGCCGCGGUAAUACGUAGGGUGCGAGCGUUAAUCGGAAUUACUGGGCGUAAAGCGUGCGCAGGCGGUGUUGUAAGACAGUUGUGAAAUCCCCGGGCUUAACCUGGGAACUGCAUCUGUGACUGCAAUGCUGGAGUGCGGCAGAGGGGGAUGGAAUUCCGCGUGUAGCAGUGAAAUGCGUAGAUAUGUGGAGGAACACCGAUGGCGAAUGCAAUCCCCUUGGGCCUGCACGACUCUCAUGCACGAAAGCGUG